GAUGAAGAACGCAGCGAAAUGCGAUAAGUAGUGUGAAUUGCAGAAUUCAGUGAAUCAUCGAAUCUUUGAACGCACAUUGCGCCCUUUGGUAUUCCAAAGGGCAUGCCUGUUCGAGCGUCAUUUGUACCCUCAAGCUAUGCUUGGUGUUGGGCGUCUUGUCUCUAGCUUUGCUGGAGACUCGCCUUAAAGUAAUUGGCAGCCGGCCUACUGGUUUCGGAGCGCAGCACAAGUCGCACUCUCUAUCAGCAAAGGUCUAGCAUCCAUUAAGCCUUUUUUUCAACUUUUGACCUCGGAUCAGGUAGGGAUACCCGCUGAACUUAAGCAUAUCAAUAAGCGGAGGA
Molecule: unclassified non-coding RNA, 341 nt
Filed under: soil metagenome
Description: partial contains 5.8S ribosomal RNA, internal transcribed spacer 2, and large subunit ribosomal RNA
Rfam family: 5.8S ribosomal RNA (bases 1-120)
Source: RNAcentral